UACGUAGGGACCAAGCGUUGUUCGGAUUUACUGGGCGUAAAGGGCGCGUAGGCGGCGUGUUAAGUCACUUGUGAAAUCUCUGAGCUUAACUCAGAACGGUCAAGUGAUACUGAUGUGCUAGAGUGCAGAAGGGGCAACCGGAAUUCUUGGUGUAGCGGUGAAAUGCGUAGAUAUCAAGAGGAACACCUGAGGUGAAGACGGGUUGCUGGGCUGACACUGACGCUGAGGCGCGAAAGCUAGGGUAGCAAACGGG
Molecule: ribosomal RNA, 253 nt
Filed under: uncultured bacterium
Lineage: Bacteria
Also listed under: 1 other name
Description: partial 16S ribosomal RNA
Rfam family: Bacterial small subunit ribosomal RNA
Source: RNAcentral